Alligator mississippiensis (American alligator) is the source of this 8885-nucleotide long non-coding RNA. RefSeq lists it as uncharacterized. The record is from RefSeq and is a predicted model, not a curated record. The transcript has 3 exons. Lineage: Eukaryota; Metazoa; Chordata; Crocodylia; Alligatoridae.
AAGGAAGGGGAGGGGGAACCGCUGGACUUGGCAAGGAGGAGGUAAGGGGAGGAGCUAAACUAUUUUUUAGCGAGUCCUAUUAACAUAAUAGGUCCAGACCUAUUAACAUGGGUCCAGAGGAGAGCCACCCGCAUGAUUAGAGGUCAGAGGAACAGGCCUGACGAGGAGAGGCUGAGAGGCACGGGACUCUUCAGCCUGGAGAAGCACAGGCUCAGGGGUGACUUGGUGGCAGCACAUAAGGGGUGUGCAUUAGGAACUGGGAGAAGGUCUGUUCACCAGGACACCCCAAGGGAAGGCAUAGCCUAACAGUCACAAACUGCUGGAAGACCGUUUUAGACCGGACAUAAGGAAAAACUUCUUUACUGUCUGUGUCGACAAGAGACUGGACUAGAAGUGGUGCAAGCACCUACUCUAGAUACGUUCAAGAAAUGCUUGGAUGCUCACCUUGCUGGGGUCCAUCCGAUGCUCUCGCGAGGUCCCUUCGAGGCCUAACGUGUAUGAAAUCUAUGAAACAAAUCCUAAUUUCUGAAAUCUCUUUGUUUUAGGAAUAGUUUAGGGUGACCUUGACCAACCUUGACUGAAAACUACUUGACUUAGGUUGUUCCCACAACAAAGAAGUGGGCCUCUGAUCACGGAGUAGCUCCAUGCAACUCAUGCAAAGACCAGCUGUGUGUGUUAUCCACUCUACUACUGAGGGAAAAGAGCAUUCAGCGGUUCUUUAUCCGUUCCUGGCAGACAUGGUCUUAAAGUAGCAUCCCCUCCAGCUCCCUUGGAUUCCCAAGCCGUUGACUUUAUGGAUCUGAAAGGAGCUGAAUGUGUAGUGCAUCCAGAGGGUUUCAACAGCAGCAGGCACCUGGGAGUAUGAAAUGGCAGGUUGCUGGGGAGAGCUUGGUGUUUCUCUGAAAUAAUGCCAUGUGCUCUUGACUGUACCUUUGGGUUUCUUGACUGUUUCCACGAUGCUCCUCUGAAAUGAGCCAGGAAUCCUAAGAGACGCCUGUGGUUGAGCCAGGAGGCAUUCAGCUUCCAUUGCUAUUCCCAAACGGUGGCCACUGGGCACAGUCCUGCUGGGUGUAGAGUAGGCACUUGGACUAGGUGAAGCAGGCUGAUCGCCGAAGUAGAAGUGCUGGGAUGCAGCCAAAGGGAGGAUAGAAUGGGCCAAAAAUACCGAGAGGAGAAUAAAUGGACUCGGAUUGGAUUUUUACUGCCAUCACAAACCAAAGUUUUCCUCCUGCAGGAGCCCAGCUGUGGUUGCCAGUCAGGCUUUCAAAGCUUUAAAGCAGGUAGCCUGCAUGGACCUGUGCAGCUGCUGGCGCUCACCUGGGUCCAGUGGGGCCUUGUCAUGGCAUCAGCGCUGCGAGGAAGGAAAUGUUUCCUCCCUCGACGCAGUUUGCUCAUGGAGUCUAAGCAAGGUGAACCUUAUCUCGUGUGUGGGUCCUUAAUUCAGGCCGUUCCUCCAGGCUUGAAAUUUGCUAGCAGGAGCCAAAGCAGCCAGAGACGAGCUGCCUUUUAAAAGCGGGAGGAGAGAAUAAGGAUUAGAAAGCCCUUUGUAAGAAGACUCCCCGUGGAGACCGGUGUAGGGGCAUAGAUGGAGUCUCCCAGGCUAUGCUGAUGUUGGGGGCUGGCAAGUCCCCAGAUGUGCCCCACCACCCUGAGCUCCCUAUUCCCUGCUUGUGCAGACAGCCCAAUGCUAUCAGCCUCUCGCAGUCUGCAAACCUGCCUUUGUCCAUUCGAGCUUUGCUCAGCAGCAUCCUCCCUCCCACCCCCCCAAGAGACUCCAGCUUUGUCCUGGCUGUUGUGUCUUAAAAUGGAGAAACCCAGCUCCUGCCAACAAGGGGAAAUAUCCUCAGCCUGUUUUUUCAGCCAGAUAUUCUGAUUUAAAGGGCUAAGGCCUAGUAUUUGCAAUCCUCCACUGGAUUGCUUGGGGAUGCUCUUUAAAGUGGGGGCUUUACAAAUGUAUUUGCACCAGCAAUGAAUACCCAAAGGUCAGCUUAUGCCCAUAGCCCAGGGAAUUAGAUGGUUAAUAAAUUGCCGCCACAAUAUUGGUUAAGAUCAAAUUCAGACUCAGGUCUUCAUCCUCAAUGAAGCCUUGUGGCACUGCCACUCCGUUAACGCAUGAUGUUGUCUGUGAAGGUUUUAGAGUGAACAGUUGCUGUUUUAACUGGUAUCUUUUUCAAAUUAAAAUUUCUAUUGACAUUAGCAAUUCUUCACCACACCACUGCCAUACCCUAGUGUAAGGUGAGUAGUUUGGAGGUAGAAUUUUUGUAAGGACACAACAUUGAUCAGAUCAACAUUGACCUCCCACUCCGUGCCCCCUUCCUUCCCCCUCCACCCUGGUAGCAACGAAGGAUAUCUCUUGGGGAGGAUGGAAAAAAGCCCAGAGUAAGUCCACAUAAAUAACAAGUCUUGCUACAAUCUAUGAUGCCAUUGACAGCACACUGAUGCAGAUUGGAACUUCCUCAGUGAACAAAACCAUAUUGAAGUGACUUUCGACAGUGUGAAGGAUGUUGGAAAUGAAAAGCUCAGCCUUGCUGAAAGCUGCCUUUUGCCUGGUAAGUGGGUACUUCCUAAGCACAGCAGCCUCUUGUCUCCAUUUGAAUUUUAACUUCUCCCUUUAUGCAGUUUGCUUGUCAGACUUUGCAGGCUGAACUUUGAAAACUUGGCCAAGUCUCUUUAGACCUUUGUGUGUUGUGGGAUGUCUACCUUAUGUCAAUGCUACACUGCAGUCACAGCUUCAGCCUCAAUAAUUAUAAAAUUAACAUUCUCCCAAUGCUGCUCUGACGACACGAUGUGCACUCGGGCAGCUAACUCUUCAUCUUCAAAGUGCCUUUGUGAAAAUUGGUCUCUGCACUGUAACCACAUCACCGUUUCAGACUCCUUUUUAUUGUUCAUGAGCUGACUCCUUUCAGGACUUGCACACCUCUCGAUUUGCAAUGAUCUCUCAAUUUGAAGUACACUUCUCAAUUUGCAAUGAUCAACAAAGGGAUUUUUCCCCCCCCCCACGUUUCCAGAAUUGGAUGGGGUGGUGCAUCUUUUCAGAGGAGUAUUGCCUCCGCUGGUAUGUCUGUGGAGCAAACCACAGUUGCGAGUGUAGCAUGAUGGCUUCAGUUAUCUACUACAGGAAGGAAUAGGAGAAAAGACCCAAAACAAUGAGCUUUUGACUUGUGCAAUCAGAGUGUGAACUCUCUAGGGUCCUCAGGUCCACAUUCAAGUUGCUGAUAUGCUAACGCCAGUGUUGUUCCCUCUGCUACCCUAGUUGUACAUGCUGGUUACAUGAAGGGUCUGACUGUUGCCUCUUGCCCCCCAAGCAGGAAAAUACAGGCCAGCCCAAGAGCGGCAGGUCUUCCUGGGCCUGUGGCCCAUUAGCUUUGCUUGAUCACCCCACAGGUCUCACCUGGCUGAUGGCUGCUGACCUCUGAAACAGAUGCACUCACUUUCUCAUGGAGUGCCCCACUUGGUUUAAGGAGCAGUUUCCAUUUUGAUGCGUGUGAACACAACACUCUUACACAGGGUCCGGAGUGGCAAUGCAGAAACCAGUGGGUUAAACUGCCAACAGCUGCAAGACUGGAUCAGGAACAACACAGCCAAGUAUAAACCUCUCUGGAAAAAGGUUGGGAGAGGGGGUGGUUUGUGAACAAUGCCCUGCUUUCUAUCAGCCCUUCCUGCUGGCCUGGCUCCAGAACAGGUUAAACAUAGACUAUAUGAGACAAAGCACUGUAUCUAAGGAGUAUGGCCUCCGGCAAAAACAGUUUGCUAUUGGCUGGUGAGGGGUGGCCUCGGGGAUCCGAUUGUGCCGGUUUUGGCUGGGAAGAAGAACACUUAUUGCUAAUCUGAAUAGAAUAUGGUGGAGAAAUAAUGAACGGCGAUUGCUAGAGCCAGCUGGGAGCGUGGCAAUAACUUAACGUCAUUGCACAGCCAGCCCCCUUAGCCCGCUUCCAAACAAGUCGACAGCUCCCUUGUCCUGACAUUUACCUGGAUUAGGCACAAUUUCUUUCACUGAUGGCUGUUAACCUCUGUCAAAGGUGGUGCUAGUGGACUGCAGUAGAGGAUCUGUCGUGGUCUCUUCCAGCUCUGCCUUCCUCGGGGGCGUUAAGCGUUGGCUGGAGCCAAGGUUGGGUUUCACGAGGCUGUGCCAAUGCUCCUGCUGGGACUUAAAGCCAGAGGUUGCAGCAUAAACAGCUUUAUCCUUCCACUUAGGGCCAGAUUGACUGUUUGGGGUCAGGAAGGAAUUUUAUCCCAUGGUGAGAUUGGAGAGUUGUGAGCUUAGAAACAAGAGAUCCAGUUUGCCGGUGGGCCUCUAAUGAGCUACCUUAGUUGGUAGUCCUCCAGCGCAGGAAAACUUCAGAGGACUUCCUCUGGAGAGGAAACCUAAAUGAGGCAUGCUGGGGUAUGCAUGUGCAUGAUACCCUAGCAUUGCAAAAUAAUGCUUGCCCUAUCUGUUCAAUGCCCUCUCCUCUAUGCAACUAACUGGCAGCUAAUUAAGCCUCACCACAUCUCAGCAUGUGGGAGAAGGAGGUUGGGAAGGCAGAAAUGGGCAUCAUUUUCAGCUAUCUCUGGAUAGCUGUAGGAUAGCAGAUGUCUGGGGGUCGGACUCGAUGAUCUAUUGAGGUCCCUUCCGACCUUAACAUCUAUGAAUCUGUGUAGGGUGGAGUUGAUCACCGGCUUGGUGAUGCCCUGCAAUGUUAUCUCAGGCUUUCAAGAGAUGCUGCUGCAGUAAAUGCAUGCUUGGGGGGGAGGGAAAAAAAAGGUAACGCUGUGACUUCUGGGCAUGUUUGGCUCUGAGAUGGGGCAUUACUAUCCCUGCUUUUAUAGGGAGAGUGAAAAGCAGUGGCUUCCUAAGGGAUAUGUAUAAAAAUGUGUGCGUCUCAGUGGGCAGGCAGCAGGGAGCUUGCCUGAUUAGAGGGAUUGGGUGCAACUGCACGAGGAACUGAGCAGCUAACUUGGAGUACUGACCCUUAGCAAAUGUAACCAUGGGGAAUUUGGCCUGAGUCCUUAUUGGAAAGGCAGCAACUUUCACCAGGUCUGGCCCCAUUGGGGGGAGACAGGUGGAUAGUAGUCCUGGGGUGGAGCUGGCUCCCUUGUGUAGACAACACUGUGUGGCCUCCCUUUGCAUUGAGCUGGUGCCCAGCAGCACCCCUUGGAGUCCUUGUAGAAACUGUGCUUUAUGAGCUGAGACCUUGAAUCACUUGUUGGCAACUCCUGCUUGUUUUAGUAGCUUAAGCAAGACUAAUUUAGGUGAGGAUAUGUACAGAGCCAAGAAACCUUUCUUCUUCACAUGCCAUGAUGGAAGAGGUUAGCAGCACUUUCAGCUGCUACUAGGCCAGCGAAUCAUUCUUGCUUAGAUGUGGGAGCUCGUUCUGAAAUGGUUUCCUUUGGAAUUUGUAUUUUUUGGAAGAAGCUUAGAAUGAAGUAAAAAUUAAAAAACAAAACAAAAACACUAGCUCAAUUGUAUAAACUGGAGUGAAGAAUAGCCCCUUCCCCCAUUAGCACCACAGUCGGGGGGCAGGUUCCAGUCUGAAUCAAAGCUGCUUUGCAAACAAAACCUCAGUGUGUAAAACUGAUUACAAGGAGAUAGGAAGGGACAUUCCUAAUUGCUGAGUGAGCCGGUUCUGUGACUUGGUUAUACAGGAUCGCAGGAAAGUUGGGCUGAAAGGGAUCUCAAGGGGUCGCAUCUAGUCUAGCCCCUUGCUCGUGGCAGGAUCAUCCAAGCGUCUGUCUGUCUAACCUGCUUCUGAAGACCUCCAAGGAUGGAGAUGCCACCACCUCUCUGGGUUGCCUCUACCCAUACUGAGCCACCCUUACACUUGUUCAAUGAGAGCCCUAAAUACCUGCAUGGCACUGGAAAGUCCCAGCCAUUGCAAUAGGAAUGGAAAUUGUAAGCAGAUGCCAUGAAAGGCACCAGUGAGGGCCUUCUGCUGGGCUCCAGCCCUCCAUCAGCAGCAUCUGCCUGCAGACAAGGGGUGUCUGUGUUUCCCCAGGUUUACGAUGUGGUGCAAUCAGCAGGGCAGAGACGAGGCCAGGAUGCACCCUGUGGUGCUUAGAGAUGUAUAAAGGGCCUUUUUGAGACAGUCGAAUGCUGCAGCUUAUUUGCCUUGGACCGGAGCAGCCUGACUACAGGAGAGUUGUUCAGCUGGCCGGGUUCACUGCUGCAUUAGCAUCAAGGGCACCAUCGCUUCCCCGCGGUUGGAGAAGGGACUGGCCAGACGUGGCCGUUUCAUGACUGGGAGGUUGCUGUGUAUAGCUGUUCUUCUGCAUGGCUGGAAAUCUCCUGUUUUGCUCCUCUGUGCUCACCAUUGGGUGACUAUGGGUAGGGUCUGGAGGCAAAUGAGGGUGCAUGGCAUGAUUCCUCAUAGCAGCCUGGAUUCAGCUCAUGCUUGCAUCCCACUACCUUCUUGUCUCGCGCUCCCAUUUGAGAUCCAGCCCCUCUGCACAAAUCCGAGUCGGCCAGGGGCUGUGGGGCCCUGCUUUCCAGAGAGCCCCUGGGGGCUUCCUCCCCGAGUCCUGUCUAACACCCGCAGCAUUACAAGCGAGCUGCCCAGCAGCUGCAAGCUUGUCUGCCGAGAUUCGGUGACAGUUGGGGAGGAUUACACUAAUGCCUCUUGUUGGGAAAGACCGUGGAGGAAUGGGGCGCAGCGGAUAAGCUGGGCAGUGACAGGAGCUGGUGUCCAGGGGAGGCUCCUGCUCUACUCAGAUGCCAUUUCCUGACCACAAGCCAUGGGUAGUGAUUUAAUACACAAGCUCCUUCGGGGCUGCCAAGGGCUUGUGGUUCCCCUGGCUGGUUUGCUGCAGACAGCACACACAGCUCCCCUUGUGAGUUCAGAUCUGCCUCUUCGAGCAUCCCACGGGCUGGCUGCAGUGCUCACCGGAGCUUGCUUUAUAGCACGAUUGAAAUGUCUAGUUGGGAGGAGCCUUGUGGGUCCCCGAAUCCAGACCUCUGCUACCCCAGGCAACCAGAUCAUUGAAUCCCUUCCCUAAACCUAUCAUCUCUCACCUUAAAACACAUUGCCUCAAAUGGUUUUAUGAACUGUCCCAGAGCCUCACUUUUCUGAUGCUUAGAAACCUAGUUUCCACCUAAAUAUAUUUAUGGCCAGUUUAUACCAAGUUGUUCAGACUGGUAUGGACUUGGGGAGGGGGUUGCCUUCCUCUGUAGUGGGGGCAUCGCCCUCUACCCAGUCUUUUAAGUAUAUAUUAACAACCUUUCAUAGAAGCAGCAUGUUCACUUUCACAUUCAGCUUCACUAGGUCUUUUCCAUCCCUGGAAGGUGUUUUAUAUAAAAGCAAUCCUAUCCUUUCUCAGCCUUCCAAAAGGGGCAUUAGUUCCAUUUUAGGGAUGGCAAAACUGAGACCAGCGUGCAAAGCAAUUUGUGCCGGGCUCCACUGUGGAGUUGUUGCUAGUUCAGCUCAUGUAGGAUGAAACCAAAGCUAGCCAUGCAGCGAUGAGUAACUCAGUGGUGGUUUCCAAUCUCAUAUUUUUCCUACCUGUGUCUUGUCCCGUUCAUCUAGAAAGACCCUCACUGCAGCAUUCAGACCUGCAUUCCCGCUGCACAAUGGGAAUUGUUUCUGGUGAUCCCAUUCAAAGCCAUGCAAACCAGAUGAAGGGCCUGACCUGCAAACUUCAGCCUGUGUGAGGGCUGGAGCUGAGUUUAAUGACCUAAUUGAAAUGCAUCUCCAUCCAUCAAAGCCACAGGCCUGGUCCUCUGGUUUGGGGGUACCAUUUAGCUCAUUUUUGUACGGUGAACCGCUGCUUAAGCUGACCUAAUUAAACAUGGCAUCUGGUUUAUUGCUGCUGCUUUAUUAGGCUUUUAAUUGAAGCAAAUCUCCCUAGCUGGCAUGGCUUCUUCCCUUGGCCCCUUCCUCACUCUUCCCUGCAUUUGCUUUGCAAGUUUUCCUUGCUCCAUGUACUUCUUUUUUUUCCUCAUCUCUGCCAGCAAUAUUUUUCACUCCCAAUUGAGUUGAUGGGAAUAUAGCAGUGUGUGUGUGUUCAAGUCAGUGAUAAACUUAAUUAAUCAGCUCCUGAUGCUAGUUCCCCUGCCCCUUGCAGACAGACAGUAUUGCAUCUAUGUCCACUCCAGACCCCAGGGAAAAUGGGACUUUAGUGAUGGAAGAGACCAGCAGCAGCUGACAUGGAAACCAUCCCUGGGACCCAAUGGCCAACAAGUAGCAGGACCGUACAGGUGUGUGUGCUGGCUCAGACCCACCUGUUGCCAGUCAGGGCUUGAUUGUAUGUGUGCUCCACUUCAGUGGGGUUUUUCAUGUGUGUAAAAUUAGGCUUGUGCAUAAAUCCUUGCACCUAACUUGCACCUAACUCCAUUGGACACCUAAUUACCUUUGUGGGUCCAGGCCUUGGUUGCUUGUUAUCAAGACCUACAAACACAGAGCCCAGGUAACUCCAUGUUUGACUGCUCAAAGCAUUAUUUCGACUCUUUGUUCCAAGUGUGAGUGACUGCUCUCGGUGUGAAGAAAUGCCUCGUGAGCUGGGACCGUGGGCUUCAGGACUAGUUCAAGGGUAGUGGCUGACUCUAAGCUCACUACUGAACUAAGUUGUUCUGCCCCAGAUGAUCGCACCUCCUAUAAUAAGCUGGAUAAGGAUUACACACUUAAUCAAUGGGAAUGCCAUUUACUUAUGUCAUUGCUCGGUUUGCCCCUCAAGGCACCUCCCCAUGCCUCAGAUGUCUAAAAGAGGGCACUGACAUAGAAGUGACCAUGUCCUGUUAAUUUAAACCCUGUCCAUAUUCCUUAGAAGAGGACAAUCCCAAAUGAAUGAGCCACCUUACGGGCAGAAGUACACAGCAUGAGACCCCCCUAAAGCUUUGUGAGAUGCUUUGGGGCAUCACGAGACCCCUAAAGCUUUGUGAGAUGCUUUGGGGCAUCACGAGACCCCCCUAAAGC